AUUCUUCUGUUGUUCAUAAGUUUUAUGAUUGGGGUUUCACGUGCAUGUAUGAGAUGUGCCUCUCUCAAACCUUGUUGUGAUAUCAGCACAUUACUCAUCUGACA
Callithrix jacchus (white-tufted-ear marmoset) is the source of this 104-nucleotide small nucleolar RNA. The record is from Ensembl. Lineage: Eukaryota; Metazoa; Chordata; Mammalia; Primates; Cebidae.